RNAcentral lists this transfer RNA (98 nucleotides) under Cadophora sp. DSE1049. Its description in RNAcentral is "tRNA-Gly". It matches the Rfam family "tRNA". Rfam says of the family: Transfer RNA (tRNA) molecules are approximately 80 nucleotides in length. Their secondary structure includes four short double-helical elements and three loops (D, anti-codon, and T loops). The record is from RNAcentral. Lineage: Eukaryota; Fungi; Ascomycota; Leotiomycetes; Helotiales; Ploettnerulaceae.
GCUUCUGUGGUCCAAUGGUUAGGAUUCCACCCUUCCAGACGGAAUAAAAAAAAACGUCAAGCAAGGUGGAGGUUCGUGUUCGAUUCACGGCAGUUGCA